UUUUGCUUGAAUUCUUUAUUUUCUAACCGGCCAUGGCCUAUAUGAAGCCUUGGUCACAACCAUUGCGGGCAUCAUUCCUUCCACCGAUGGGACCAAUCACUGCCGUCCAUCACCUGUCCUUCUCUUUGAUCAUGAGAUAAUAUAAAGGAGAGGAGUCACGAUUCACGGAAGGCAAGAGCCUGACCCACCAUAGCCGAUGCUAUAUAAAGGCGCAAGAUAUUUUAUCGCUGCGUCACCGAGAGGUUAAACCCUAACUCGCCGCCCCCCUCUUCUUCUAAAACCCCUAUCCCUCUUCCCAUCUCCCUCCCUUUCGUUCCCCGAGCGACUUUUCUGAAGGUAAGAUCCUCAGUUCUUGAGGAAAUUCCCGUUCUUUUCUUUCUCUGUAUCUCCGGUAAUCAAAGAUCAAAUCGAUUUCUUUUCUAUCUA
This 426-nucleotide long non-coding RNA is filed under the name Phoenix dactylifera (date palm). Its description in RNAcentral is "long non-coding RNA (PDAC_LNC018913)". Lineage: Eukaryota; Viridiplantae; Streptophyta; Magnoliopsida; Arecales; Arecaceae. The record is from RNAcentral.